AGCUUUGCGCAGUGGCAGUAUCGUAGCCAAUGAGGUUUAUCCGAGGCGCGAUUAUUGCUAAUUGAAAGAACUAAACACACUUUCAAGUUCUCAGUACAGUAUGUUGCUUUAAAAAAAUUAAAAAGGGUAACUCU
Lutra lutra (Eurasian river otter) is the source of this 134-nucleotide small nuclear RNA. RefSeq annotates it as U4 spliceosomal RNA. NCBI's taxonomy places the organism in Eukaryota, Metazoa, Chordata, Mammalia, Carnivora, Mustelidae. The record is from RefSeq and is a predicted model, not a curated record. The transcript has a single exon.